This 174-nucleotide ribosomal RNA is filed under the name uncultured bacterium. RNAcentral's name for it is "partial 16S ribosomal RNA". It matches the Rfam family "Bacterial small subunit ribosomal RNA", at positions 1328 to 1500 of the family's 1533-position model. The record is from RNAcentral.
GGAAUUGCUAGUAAUCGCGGAUCAGCAAGCCGCGGUGAAUACGUUCCCGGGCCUUGUACACACCGCCCGUCACACCAUGAGAGUCGGGAACACCCGAAGUCCGUAGUCUAACCGCAAGGAGGGAGCUGCCUAAGGUGGGGUAGAUGAUUGGGGGUGAAGUCGUAACAAGGUAGC